Molecule: ribosomal RNA, 253 nt
Filed under: uncultured bacterium
Lineage: Bacteria
Description: partial 16S ribosomal RNA
Rfam family: Bacterial small subunit ribosomal RNA
Source: RNAcentral
UACGUAGGGCGCAAGCGUUGUCCGGAAUUAUUGGGCGUAAAGAGCUCGUAGGCGGUUUGUCGCGUCUGUCGUGAAAGCUUGGGGCUUAACCCCAAGUCUGCGGUGGAUACGGGCAGACUAGAGGCAGGUAGGGGAGAACGGAAUUCCCGGUGUAGCGGUGAAAUGCGCAGAUAUCGGGAGGAACACCGGUGGCGAAGGCGGCAUUCUGGACCGAAACUGACGCUGAGGCGCGAAAGCCAGGGGAGCAAACGGG